RNAcentral lists this long non-coding RNA (199 nucleotides) under Lathyrus oleraceus (garden pea). Its description in RNAcentral is "Pisum sativum (pea) long non-coding RNA (PSAT_LNC030370)". The record is from RNAcentral. Lineage: Eukaryota; Viridiplantae; Streptophyta; Magnoliopsida; Fabales; Fabaceae.
UCUGUGAUGCUUUUUAAAUCCAGACUUCACUACAUACUGAACUGAAUUCAUCAGCUUAUUAAACAGUAUGUGCUGUUGUUGGAGAAUGUCAAAACAUUCUGCUUGACAUUCCAACAGAAGGCUAUGUAUCAGAUCUGAUAUUUCUUGCUGAACAGACUGAAUUACAUGCUUAGUUUUGGCAGACAUGAUUAUAUCAUAC